CCCUUAGAUGUUCUGGGCAGCACGCGCGCUACAAUGGUCUUCGCAAACGGAUGCAUUCUCGAAGGAGAAUGCCAAUCUUGGAAUCUAUGCCUUGGUCGGGACAGUUGCUUGCAAUUUUUCGACUCGAACCAGGAAUUCCUUGUAAUCGUGAUUCAUCACAUCACGAUGAAUACGUCCCUGCCCUUUGUACACACCUCCCGUCGCUCCUACCGAUCGAAGAGUUAGGUGAAUUGUUUUGAUCGAUAAGAUUUGACUAUGGUCAACUCUCGUUGUGAAAUUCUGUGAAUCUGACUGUUUAGAGGAAGGAAAAGUCGUAACA
Molecule: ribosomal RNA, 319 nt
Filed under: uncultured eukaryote
Lineage: Eukaryota
Description: partial 18S ribosomal RNA
Rfam family: Eukaryotic small subunit ribosomal RNA
Source: RNAcentral